UACGGAGGGGGCAAGCGUUGUUCGGAAUUACUGGGCGUAAAGCGCGUGUAGGCGGCGUGACAAGUCGGGUGUGAAAGCCCUCAGCUCAACUGAGGAAGUGCGCCCGAAACUGUCGUGCUUGAGUGUCGGAGAGGGUAGCGGAAUUCCCCAAGUAGAGGUGAAAUUCGUAGAUAUGGGGAGGAACACCGGUGGCGAAGGCGGCUACCUGGACGACUACUGACGCUGAGACGCGAAAGCGUGGGGAGCAAACAGG
Molecule: ribosomal RNA, 253 nt
Filed under: uncultured bacterium
Lineage: Bacteria
Description: partial 16S ribosomal RNA
Rfam family: Bacterial small subunit ribosomal RNA
Source: RNAcentral